GUACAUGAAUAUUUCUUUGUAAAAUUUGGUGAAAAAUCAAAAUUUGUAAAUAAAAAAUUAAAAGAAAUAUUAGAAAAAAAGGGGAAAAAAUUCAUCCAUUGCAGCCCAUCCCCCAUCCCCCUGCUCCUUUCUCCCUUCCCUCCCCCUCGAUUCUAACCACCCUAGCCUGCUAGCCAACCCUUCCACCACGACCAUCCCACCCCACACCCACCUAAAACCCAACCUAGAUCAAAUUCAAUUUUGUGUAUGUCAGUCCAGUUAAAAGAAGAAGAAAAAAAACUCAUAUAUGGAACUUGAGUUUCGUGGAUGUCAAAGAGAGAGAAAGAGAAGGGUUGGGUGGUGGGAGAAGAGGUAGAGGGAGGGUGCUGGAUCAUGGAUGUGAGGUUGUUGGCUGUCGCAUAGAGAGAGAGGGAGAUGAGAGAUAAAAAGGAGAAGAAGGGAGAAGGGUGAAACUGAAGCUCAAUUGCGGGUUGUGAUUUUUCUUAUGGGUAAUUUUAACCCGAUUGUAACAAAAUUACAAUUUUGAACUGAACCGUUCAUUUUAAUUGAACGGUUGUUAACAUCUCGCAAAUAAGCUCCGCAUAUUAACCUCCGCAUUCUAGCAGCUCCCCUUAAGUUGGGCAUUUGGGCCCAAACCGAGAACCAAGUGAUGACACGACUAAGUCAUUGGUUGACUUGGCAAAAGGAUUUUUUGGACUAGUGAUUGAGGGGGAAGCCACCAGGUCAUGUCAGACAUGACAUGCAAAAGCUUUUUGGGCGGUGAGAUAUCGAGAGACAAGCUUACUUGGGCGGCAACUUCCCUCUAUAAGAGCAACUCCACCCCUUAGGGCAAAGUCUAAGGCAAGGGCAAGCAAGGGCUGACACUAUUCACGUGAAUAGUAUCAGCCUUGCCAUUUGUGGUUCCACCCACAAGGGCAAAGUCUAGGGCAAGUCUAGGGCAAUUACUAUUCAUUGUACUUUAUUUUCUAUUUUUUUAAUACUUUAAAUCAUUAAUUUUGAUAAUCUUUUGUAAUUAAAUUUUCGGAUAAGAUUUUCGGAUGUGAAUCUCGGUUGCCAC
This 1057-nucleotide long non-coding RNA is filed under the name Prunus persica (peach). Its description in RNAcentral is "long non-coding RNA (PPER_LNC000243)". The record is from RNAcentral. Lineage: Eukaryota; Viridiplantae; Streptophyta; Magnoliopsida; Rosales; Rosaceae.